This is a non-coding RNA of Xyrichtys novacula (pearly razorfish), 3637 nucleotides long. The record is from the annotation of a GenBank genome assembly. NCBI's taxonomy places the organism in Eukaryota, Metazoa, Chordata, Actinopteri, Labriformes, Labridae.
GGUUCAGUGUUGAACUUCACUGCUUCACUCAUCUGAGACACUACGACCUUAACUGGGUGAUGUGUCAUUUCACCUUUCACGGCAUUUUCAAGUUUUGAAAAUAGAAAAGUGGACUUUGUUAACUCAAUGAAACAAAACUUCUGUGCAAAGUAAAGUUCAUAAACUCCAAAAAUGUGACCCUUAAAUUAGUCUUCAAACUCUUCUGCUCACACUUAAAGUCAAAGAACAUAAAUAAAUAUAUAAAAAGCUCUUGUUGAAGUCCAACAUAAACCCCACUGGAAGUCCUGUGUAAGUCUUUUUUAAGGAGGAGGAUUAUAAUCUCUUCAUCUUCUUUACACCCUGGAAUAGAGCUGUAACUGGAAAACGGUAAUUUACUCUCAGCAGGGGGUCCACAUGACAAGAUGGGGGGAAUUAGAUGGUCUGUUUGGGGGCAGAGAGGGUGGAUGACAGGGGGAUUAUCCUUUUAAUCUGGGUUUGCUUCUGUGGACUGUUACCCUUUAGUUUCUCCUCCACUCUGUGCUCUGCUCUGGUUUUAACACCUUUCUUACGAUUGGUCUAUAAUUACUGACUAAUUAACUCCAGAGCCGACUGCCUGAUUUGGCUUUUGAUGACUUUAUGUUAACGUCAUAUUAAAAACCAACUUUCUUCUGCUGCUGUUGGUCAUAGCUUGGUCUCGGUUGGUUUUCAAACUAUAGAAAUAGAUGACCCCUCUCUUACAUCACUGACACUUGUUGACUAAGGACUACAUAUGAAGACAAAUAUAACUUCACCUACCUGAACGCAAAGAACCAAAAAGGUUUUUUAAGACGGUCAGCAAUGUGCAGUGUUGGUGCAGAUGUGUAGCUCUUUUAAAUAAUACAUACAAGUCUAGGCCCGGUUUUAAAGGUUCUGGAUCUAAAGGAUCUGGUUAACUGUAUAUAGUGUCUUCAAUCUCGUGAGACUCAAAUGUUGACCCUGUUGACCUUUCCAAAGAGCGACGUAAUGUCAGUUUGCUUGGUUGAAUGGGAGUUUUCACUGGGACCUUUACUUACUCACUGCCUUAAAGUUUGCAACCUUUACAGUAAGGUCGUCGAGGUGGCUUUGGGUUAGAGUUUAGGGAAUGCAGAUAACCAGGAUACUAAAAGUGUGGUGGUAUUUAAUUGGCCGAUCCAAAGACGGGAUAAGGCGUCUCGAAUUUGUGCAGCUGAUGUGUCACCAGCGCUGCACUGGAAUGAUGAGUCGUCUGUCAGCCUCCUUAUGUUUCCUCCCUGAGGUCAGGGUUCACCUUCAUAGUUAAAAGAAACUCAGGGCCUCUCUCAAAGCGGACUUUACUCACCCACACCCAUGAGUCACUCAUGCCCUUGGUGCUGUACAACGAUGCAAAUACACCCACCAUCCCCAAACACCUCCUCUGAAUUAAGAGUAUAGAGUAUAUCAAGAAUAUAAUUAAAAUGAAAUAUUUUAUUGACGGUGUACAUAAGAUUUAAAGGAUAAAAUCAUGACACGUCAAAUUCUAACACAUAGUAUAAAGAACAAGGAUAAAAUAAUCAUAAUUUUAGAUUUCAGUCCUUUUAGUACAAGAAUUAAGUCUUGUUAAGAGAUUACAGUUAUGAAAGCAUGAGAAUAAAGUGUGACAACUCUAGAUUGAAGUUAAGUCUGCCAAGAAACACGUCCAUGCAUUAAUUCAGCUAUUGUACCAGAUUUAGCUCACGCACAAUUCAGCCAUACAUGAUAUAAUUAAGAGAUCAUAAAUUAAAUGUAAUAAGAUUAAAGUCAUUAUGUUAUGUUGUGAUUAGAGUCACUAAUUGAUCCUCUUUAGACUGGGACUUAGUUCUCAUAAAUUACGUUAUUUUCCACUGAAUUUACGCUUCAAAUCUUUUUUUAAGUUGCCCUCACGCUCAUUAUUUUAAUUUUCAUAACUGCUAAUAGUUGGCUUUGUCGAGCAAUGGUCUGUGUCGAGUAAUUUUCUUUAAGUACAGGUUGGAAUUUUUUUUUCUUUUUACAAAAUUAACGAUUUCAGGUGCACAGAAAUUCAUGUUAUGUUGCUGUGGCAUCAAAACAGACAUCAGUCUCAAACUGUUUUGACUGUUGCCAUGUUAAAGUGAAAUGUGGGUUGAUUCCUGGAUUAUCAGCUGCUAUAAAGUGUUAAAUUCAGAUUAAACUGUUUAAGGCAGAAGAGGAGAUGGUGCCAUUAUACCAGAUCCUUUUGGUAGUUCGUUCUUUUUUUUCUGCGUUUUUGCUCACUUAAGUCUUUUUCCAUCGUGUUUGAGAAUUAACUAUGAAGAAAUCUGAUGAACUAAUAACCUGUUGGGGUAAGUGGACUAGAGCAACAGGUGUCUUGUUUCCUGCUAAAGCCGAGUGCCCUUUAUCACACAUGGAAACAUGUCACCAUUUGGAGCAAGAAAGAGUGCCGGGCCUCCUGCAGACCGAUGUGAUCCACAGAGGAAUGAGUUCACACUCUGCCAGAUGGAGUGUAAACCUUCAGAGCAGAAAGCAAAUCCACAUCUAUACUGUACCACUUAACUCCUCGUGUAUUGUACAGUAAAUUAAAAAACAUGUCUAUGAGCAAAUGAUGCAGUUUAACGAGAGAAAUCUGCAACGAUUCUGCGUUUGUGUGAUUUUUAAAAAGGAUUACUAAGCCGACAAAUAGAGAGAAACGUUUGUACGACAUUUCACUUCAUAAAGACGUCUUUUAUGCACCGGAUGUUUGAGGUCAGAACAAUUCAUCCGUGCAAGGAAGUAACGAACGUGCCUUACAAACAGAGCGAGCAUCCUCUGCAGCAAUUUCAGCGAGUGUGUUUUCAUGUAGGCGCACACGUUUUUUUGUUUUUUUUUUGUAUGUGUGUUUUUUCUGGAGUCAUGAGUGACUGUCCAUCCUGUGACCGGUGCGUGUGACUCACUCCUUUUCCAAAAGUUUCCAUCUUGGCGCCUCAAAGGCAAAAACCAUCAGAGCGCUGUCACCAUCUGGACAGUAAGAGCCCUCCUGGGCUGCCCGCCUUGUGUCCCUGACUCAAAGGCUUUAACUAAAAAUACAACCUUCAGGAUGUUAUUGCAAACGCACAAAUUCAUGACUGGCUGGGAUUUCUCAGCUCCCAGCGUUUGAUGUUUCUGUUUCCUCUCCAUAAAUAACAAAGGUAAAAUUGCUCACACACGCAUCAUACAGUAGUAAUAAUGUUGUCACGCUGGCUAAUAGGCAUGCAAUGGCUUUGAUUAAAGGCACUUCCUGGAGGGUUAAGGCAAUUUUGGAGGUUUCAGAGGCCGAGUUUUCAAUCUGCUCUAUUAUGAAAGGAAACCCACACAGAAUUACAAUCAACUUUUCACUUGACUUGGCCUGAAUAUUUCUGUUAUUUUGGCUUUUUUCUAACGUUUUUACAUCCUGCAACUUUGCCCUGGAAACCGCUGCACACCGCCUGCCCAGCAUCAAACAGCCGACUUAAGAGUGCAAGAAGCAAGCGAGGGAAGAAAGUCUCACAGCAGCAGAUGAAAAGGGGUGAUUUCUCAAGAGGUAGGAGGACAAAAAAGGCCUCCAAGAAAUACAAAGUUUGCACCUACACCUGUCAGCUAGCCAGAAACAUGACUUCAAAUGAGUGAAAGUGUUUAUUAUUCAAGGAGUUUUGGUCAAGCUGGUGGAGGUAGAAGACGUCUGUGAAUCCAAAAG